AUGGCUAUUGCUGCCAAUGACAUUACAACUGUAGAGUCCUUGCAAUUUGAUUUUGUUACAAUUGAAAGUGUCACAAACAAAUUCUCAGAGGAUCACAAGCUUGGUGAAGGAUGAUUUGGUCAGGUUUACAAGGGAACACUUCCUAAUGGACAAGAAAUAGCUGUGAAGAGGUUAUCAAAAAGCUCAGGACAGGGUGCAGAACAAUUUAAGAAUGAGGUUGUAGUGGUAGCCCAACUUCAACACAGAAAUUUAGCAAGGCUAUUGGGUUUUUGCUUGCAAGGAGAAGAAAAGAUACUUGUUUAUGAAUAUGUGCCCAACAAGAGUCUUGACUAUAUUCUAUAUGACCCAAAAAAAGAGGGACUACUGGAUUGGUCAAGACGUUACAAGAUAAUAGGCGGGAUUGCUCGAGGAAUCCAAUAUCUACAUGAAGAUUCUCGACUUCGAAUUAUACAUCACGAUCUCAAAGUUAGCAAUGUAUUGUUGGAUGCAGAUAUGAACCCAAAAAUUUUAGAUUUUGGCAUGGCAAGGAUAUUUGGAGUUGAUCAAACUCAAGGAAACGCAAGUAGAAUUGUGGGAACAUAUGGUUAUAUGUCUCCAGAGUAUGCAAUGCACGGAGAAUUCUCUUUAAAGUCGGAUGUGUAUAGCUUUGGUGUCUUGGUUCUAGAGAUUAUCACUAGCAAGAAGAACAGUAAUUUCUAUGAAUCAGAAGUUUGGAUACAUUGGAGGGAUGGUAGGCCUUUGGAAUUGUUGGAUCCAGCUUUGGGAGAUUCCUUUUCUAGAGAUGAAGUCAUGAGAUGCAUCCAUGUUGGUUUAUUAUGUGUUCAAGAAGAUCCAGCUGACAGACCCACCAUGGCAACGAUAGGUCUCACACUUACAAGCAGCUCAGUUUCACUGCAAGCACCUCAACAGCCAGCAUUUUUCCCAAAACAGACACAAACCACCCAAUAA
RNA transcript from Quercus lobata, 948 nucleotides. It is a transcript of the gene named cysteine-rich receptor-like protein kinase 10, with no coding region annotated. The transcript is spliced from 6 exons. NCBI's taxonomy places the organism in Eukaryota, Viridiplantae, Streptophyta, Magnoliopsida, Fagales, Fagaceae. The record is from RefSeq and is a predicted model, not a curated record.